UAACUACAACUACCCUUUGAUUGAUUGAUUGAUUGUCCAUGCCCACCACACCUUCCAUCAAAGCAGGAGAGAGCUUUCACGUCUUUCGUAAAGCAAUACGAAGUGUGAUCUAUAUGUAUGAUGUAAUACAAGUGUAAUUACCUCCACAAUCUCACUUUCCAUGCAAAACUUUGGAUUAAAACAACCCAAACCACACUUACCCUGGCAGAGUAUGUUGCAUUACAGAUGAACAAGGGAAUGCAGGAGUGUCCAAGAUCUUCUUCGGUGGUGUAUAAAUUAAUUUCAGAAGGUGGAAGUGACCCCAUGUGAACCCUGUGCACGCUGCGAGGCUUGCGUUGCCACUCCUGCUCUCUCUCGCUCUGUCUUUCCAUCACCUGGUGUCGCCGUGGGUUUCUCUUUUUGAUCUGGGCCUCAAUUCCCCCAAUUCCUCUCCUGCUGCCGUUGCUGUUGCUGUUUCUCUUCACUUCACUUCACUGUUGUGCUGUCCUGCAACCCCGACAGUCCUCAAUCCCUCUCCCUCAUUCAAAUACCCUGGUACUCAGUAAAGUGUAACUAAAUCUGCCUCUGCACGCGGGGCUUUAUUGAACCUCCUUGCGUCUGGGAUGAGGCUGUCAGGAACCCAUCAGCGCAACAUGGUUUCUGUUUCGUGUAACUGGUGGCAAGCGUGCAUGGAUCUCCGCUUCGAAUGAUGUCCCAAACAGGAUCUGACAAAUAACAUUCACAACCACGUUGUAGCAAUCGCAGCUUGUCUCCAGCGAGGGUUUUACACACACAGCCUCGUGAAGCAGCAGCGCUGAUGAGCCUCGGAUUGCAAAAGUGGGCCAGAUUGGAAAUUGAGAGUGUGGACUCACCAGAAGCCCUCUGCAAGCACAGAGUUUUAGGGUUUAGGGUUUAGGGUUUUUGGUGCGUCGUGUACGAGAGAGAAGAAUGUGGAGAAUUCAUGGGGAGUAGUAGUAGUAUUGUGGGGUAUCUAUUGCAUUGCAGAUUCAAAAGAAUAUUAGCAAAAUAAGCAAAAGGAAUGUGAAGUGUUUUUCAUACCUAAAACAACCAAUUUUAAUAAUAGUAGAAUUGUAAAGAUUGUCAUCUACUUUGUACAACCCUUUUUUAAUGUUAGAUUGUUGUUUGAAAAGGAUUUUUACUUGUAAGGAUGAGGGUUGUGCCCUUGAGUUGUUGCAAGUGCAUUAGCCUAAGCAACAUGUGGAUAACAAUUGAGGGAUAUAACUAUACAUAUUUAUGAAAGAGGCAAAAGUUAG
Molecule: non-coding RNA, 1253 nt
Organism: Physcomitrium patens
Lineage: Eukaryota; Viridiplantae; Streptophyta; Bryopsida; Funariales; Funariaceae
Source: RefSeq, a predicted model, not a curated record